Molecule: ribosomal RNA, 275 nt
Filed under: uncultured bacterium
Lineage: Bacteria
Description: partial 16S ribosomal RNA
Rfam family: Bacterial small subunit ribosomal RNA
Source: RNAcentral
UUUCUCCGCCGGCGACCGGCGCACGGGUGAGUAACACGUAUGCAACCUGCCCCUGUCAGGGGGACAACCCGCCGAAAGGCGGGCUAAACCCGCGUACAUGCCACCGGGGCAUCCCGGAGGCAGGAAAGGCUUCGGCCGGACAGGGAUGGGCAUGCGUCGCAUUAGUUAGUUGGCGGUGUAACGGACCACCAAGACGACGAUGCGUAGGGGUUCUGAGAGGAAGGUCCCCCACACUGGUACUGAGACACGGACCAGACUCCUACGGGAGGCAGCAG